GCACCCACAACAUCAUUGUAUCAUCUCAUCACCACCACAACCACUACCACAAUAACACCAAAAAUACCAACACCAAUAAUUGUCACUGCUGUAGAUGACACCAAUUGCUGCUGCACAACGACGUCGCUUUUCGACACUAGACGGCACCAUCUUCGCUUCGCAGCAGUUCCAAUUUUUGACGAGAUCUAACGGAUCUGAAGGAUUGGCGUC
Molecule: long non-coding RNA, 210 nt
Filed under: Olea europaea (common olive)
Lineage: Eukaryota; Viridiplantae; Streptophyta; Magnoliopsida; Lamiales; Oleaceae
Description: long non-coding RNA (OEUR_LNC009086)
Source: RNAcentral